This 468-nucleotide ribosomal RNA is filed under the name uncultured bacterium. Its description in RNAcentral is "partial 16S ribosomal RNA". It matches the Rfam family "Bacterial small subunit ribosomal RNA", at positions 28 to 507 of the family's 1533-position model. The record is from RNAcentral.
GACGAACGCUGGCGGCGUGCUUAACACAUGCAAGUCGAACGGAAAGGCCCUGCUUUUGUGGGGUGCUCGAGUGGCGAACGGGUGAGUAACACGUGAGUAACCUGCCCUUGUCUUUGGGAUAACUUCAGGAAACUGGGGCUAAUACCGGAUAGGAGCUCCUGCUGCAUGGUGGGGGUUGGAAAGUUUCGGCGGUUGGGGAUGGACGCGCGGCUUAUCAGCUUGUUGGUGGGGUAGUGGCUUACCAAGGCUUUGACGGGUAGCCGGCCUGAGAGGGUGACCGGCCACAUGGGGACUGCGAUACGGCCCAGACUCCUACGGGAGGCAGUAGGGGGGAAUAUUGCACAAUGGGCGGAAGCCUGAUGCAGCAACGCCGCGUGCGGGAUGACGGCCUUCGGGUUGUAAACCGCUUUCGCCUGUGACGAAGCGUGAGUGACGGUAAUGGGUAAAGAAGCACCGGCUAACUACGUG